UCCUACGGGAGGCAGCAGUGGGGAAUAUUGGACAAUGGGGGGAACCCUGAUCCAGCCAUGCCGCGUGUGUGAAGAAGGCCUUUUGGUUGUAAAGCACUUUAAGUGGGGAGGAGGCUUACCUGGUUAAUACCUGGGCUAAGUGGACGUUACCCACAGAAUAAGCACCGGCUAACUCCGUGCCAGCAGCCGCGGUAAU
RNAcentral lists this ribosomal RNA (196 nucleotides) under uncultured bacterium. RNAcentral describes it as "partial 16S ribosomal RNA". It matches the Rfam family "Bacterial small subunit ribosomal RNA", at positions 337 to 524 of the family's 1533-position model. The record is from RNAcentral.